Molecule: non-coding RNA, 696 nt
Organism: Arachis ipaensis
Lineage: Eukaryota; Viridiplantae; Streptophyta; Magnoliopsida; Fabales; Fabaceae
Source: RefSeq, a predicted model, not a curated record
AAAACGCGUAACCCUAAAUCCCUAAUAAUCACAAUCAGUUUCCAGUGAUUUCCCCUUUCCAGUUUCCAGAAACCAUUCUUCACCCACAGCAGUUCACCACCGAGCCACCACCCCGUCCUGCUUCUGGCCGAGCCCUAAAUCCCCUAAUCAGUUUCCAGAAAUCACCACGCUCCAGAAAUCACCGAAGCACAGUUCACCACCCAGUCACACACAGCCAUCAGCCCUCUUCGCAGUCGCAUACCCACCAGCCCACCACCACCAAUCGAGCAGCCACAGCAGCGACCACCGCAACCACCACCGUCGUUGCCGAGCUCGCCAACUCCUUGGUCGUCGCCGAGCUCGCCUCCUCCUCGGUCGUCCGAGCUCGCCCGUCCUCGCCGUUACUCGCCUCCUCCUUGGAUAACGUCAGAGAUAUGGUUGAUAAUUUUCUUGAAUUUGUUGUGAACAAUCAUCAUGUCAACAGGGAGCGAGAACCAGUAUCAAUGUUACAGGCUUUUCAAAUAUCUUUGGUCAGAACAGCGAUUUCAAAUAUCUUUGCCUAAUGUAGCUGAUUUUUCAAAUACAACUUCUUUUGAUGGUACUUCUAAUGAUGGUGGCUUUGGAUUACCUGUUUAUGAUGGAGAUAUUGAAACACUUAAUGAUAAUUAUGAUUUUUGAUGAGUUGCACCUUUGAUUAGUUGAAAACUUGCUAGUAAU